Molecule: ribosomal RNA, 440 nt
Filed under: uncultured bacterium
Lineage: Bacteria
Description: partial 16S ribosomal RNA
Rfam family: Bacterial small subunit ribosomal RNA
Source: RNAcentral
CCUACGGGUGGCAGCAGUGGGGAAUAUUGCACAAUGGAGGAAACCCUGAUGCAGCCACGCCGCGUGAAGGAAGAAGUAUUUCGGUAUGUAAACUUCUAUCAGCCGGGACGAAAAUGACGGUACCUGACUAAGAAGCCCCGGCUAACUACGUGCCAGCAGCCGCGGUACUACGUAGGGGGCACGCGUUAUCCGGAUUUACUGUGUGUAAAGGGAGCGUAGGCGGCGAUGCAAGUCAGAAGUGAAAGCCCGGGGCUCAACUCCGGGACUGCUUUUGAAACUGUGUUGCUAGAUUGCAGGAGAGGUAAGUGGAAUUCCUAGUGUAGCGGUGAAAUGCGUAGAUAGUAGGAGGAACACCAGUGGCGAAGGCGGCUUACUGGAAUGUAAAUGACGCUGAGGCUCGAAAGCGUGGGGAGCAAACAGGAUUAGAUACCCUGGUAGUC